Molecule: ribosomal RNA, 1060 nt
Filed under: Hyphoderma setigerum
Lineage: Eukaryota; Fungi; Basidiomycota; Agaricomycetes; Polyporales; Hyphodermataceae
Description: eukaryotic LSU rRNA
Rfam family: Eukaryotic large subunit ribosomal RNA
Source: RNAcentral
UUUGACCUCAAAUCAGGUAGGAUUACCCGCUGAACUUAAGCAUAUCAAUAAGCGGAGGAAAAGAAACUAACAAGGAUUCCCCUAGUAACUGCGAGUGAAGCGGGAAAAGCUCAAAUUUAAAAUCUGGCGGUCUUUGGCUGUCCGAGUUGUAAUCUAGAGAAGCGUCUUCCGCGCUGGACCGUGUAYAAGUUCUUUGGAAUAGGACAUCAUGGAGGGUGAGAAUCCCGUCUUUGACACGGACUCCCAGUGCUUUGUGAUGCGCUCUCAAAGAGUCGAGUUGUUUGGGAAUGCAGCUCAAAAUGGGUGGUAAAUUCCAUCUAAAGCUAAAUAUUGGCGAGAGACCGAUAGCGAACAAGUACCGUGAGGGAAAGAUGAAAAGCACUUUGGAAAGAGAGUUAAACAGUACGUGAAAUUGCUGAAAGGGAACCACUUGAAGUCAGUCGCGUUGUUCAGAACUCAGCCUGGCUUUUGCUUGGUGUAUUUUCUGUUUAACGGGCCAGCAUCAAUUUCGAUCAUUGGAAAAAGGCCAGAGGAAUGUGGCAUCUUCGGGUGUGUUAUAGACUCUGGUUGCAUACAAUGGUUGGGAUUGAGGAUCUCAGCAUGCCUUUUGGCCGGGGUUCGCCCACGUUCAUGCUUAGGAUGCUGGCGUAAUGGCUUUAAAUGACCNGUCUUGAAACACGGACCAAGGAGUCUAACAUGCCUGCGAGUGUUUGGGUGGAAAACCCGAGCGCACAAUGAAAGUGAAAGUCGAGAUCCCUGUCGUGGGGAGCACCGACGCCCGGACCAGACCUUUUGUGACGGCUCCGCGGUAGAGCAUGUAUGUUGGGACCCGAAAGAUGGUGAACUAUGCCUGAAUAGGGUGAAGCCAGAGGAAACUCUGGUGGAGGCUCGUAGCGAUUCUGACGUGCAAAUCGAUCGUCAAAUUUGGGUAUAGGGGCGAAAGACUAAUCGAACCAUCUAGUAGCUGGUUCCUGCCGAAGUUUCCCUCAGGAUAGCAGAAACUCAUGUCAGAUUUAUGUGGUAAAGCGAAUGAUUAGAGGCCUUGGGGUUGAACAACCUU